UUCCAGUUUCCAUGAAAUUCUGGAUUGGGUUCUCUUUCAAGAUACCAAACAACUAACAUUGUGUAAAUCGUGAUUGCACCUGUAACCAGCCACAAUUCCCAGCUAAACGGCUUCGUAAACAUCCAUGCUGACUCUUCAGAUGCUGCUGGAACUAUCAUUGACAAUCCUGAUUCUGCAUAUGCUGAUUGGGAGCGUUGUGGAUUGUUCAGUUCAUCAGAAAUGGUUACACUCUCCAACCUUGGCGAAUUUCGACGGCGUACACCUUGUAAUACACUGCCACCAAAAGUUGCAGAUUUAUUUAAAGCCAUCAGAUUUCCAUUGUAUAAGCCAGUACCACUUCUUAAAACUCUCUUCAUAUCAUUAUUAUUAUUAUGAUCAUCAUCAGAUUCAGUGGUUACA
Non-coding RNA from Cicer arietinum (chickpea), 399 nucleotides. NCBI's taxonomy places the organism in Eukaryota, Viridiplantae, Streptophyta, Magnoliopsida, Fabales, Fabaceae. The record is from RefSeq and is a predicted model, not a curated record.